Molecule: ribosomal RNA, 46 nt
Filed under: Russula sp.
Lineage: Eukaryota; Fungi; Basidiomycota; Agaricomycetes; Russulales; Russulaceae
Also listed under: 1 other name
Description: partial 28S ribosomal RNA
Source: RNAcentral
UGACCUCAAAUCGGGUGAGACUACCCGCUGAACUUAAGCAUAUCAU